UGGGGAAUAUUGGACAAUGGGCGAAAGCCUGAUCCAGCCAUGCCGCGUGUGUGAUGAAGGCCUUCGGGUUGUAAAGCACUGUCGGGGGGGAAGAAGAUCUGACGGUACCCCCCAAGAAAGCACCGGCUAACUCCGUGCCAGCAGCCGCGGUAAUACGGAGGGUGCAAGCGUUGCUCGGAAUUACUGGGCGUAAAGCGUACGCAGGCGGCGCAUCAAGUCGGAUGUGAAAGCCCUGGGCUCAACCCAGGAACUGCAUUCGAAACUGGUGCACUUGAGUCCGAGAGAGGGUGGUGGAAUUCCUGGUGUAGAGGUGAAAUUCGUUGAGAUCAGGAGGAACAUCAGCGGCGAAGGCGGCCACCUGGCUCGGUACUGACGCUCAUGUACGAAAGCGUGGGUAGCAAACAGG
This 406-nucleotide ribosomal RNA is filed under the name uncultured bacterium. RNAcentral's name for it is "bacterial SSU rRNA". It matches the Rfam family "Bacterial small subunit ribosomal RNA", at positions 355 to 776 of the family's 1533-position model. The record is from RNAcentral.